GACGAACUUUGGCGGCGUGCUUAACACAUGCAAGUCGAACGGAAAGGCCCUGCUUUUGUGGGGUGCUCGAGUGGCGAACGGGUGAGUAACACGUGAGUAACCUGCCCUUGACUUUGGGAUAACUUCAGGAAACUGGGGCUAAUACCGGAUAGGAGCUCCUGCUGCAUGGUGGGGGUUGGAAAGUUUCGGCGGUUGGGGAUGGACUCGCGGCUUAUCAGCUUGUUGGUGGGGUAGUGGCUUACCAAGGCUUUGACGGGUAGCCGGCCUGAGAGGGUGACCGGCCACAUUGGGACUGAGAUACGGCCCAGACUCCUACGGGAGGCAGCAGUGGGGAAUAUUGCACAAUGGGCGGAAGCCUGAUGCAGCAACGCCGCGUGCGAGAUGACGGCCUUCGGGUUGUAAACCGCUUUCGCCUGUGACGAAGCGUGAGUGACGGUAAUGGGUAAAGAAGCACCGGCUAACUACGUGCCAGCAGCCGCGGUGAUACGUAGGGUGCGAGCGUUGUCCGGAUUUAUUGGGCGUAAAGGGCUCGUAGGUGGUUGAUCGCGUCGGAAGUGUAAUCUUGGGGCUUAACCCUGAGCGUGCUUUCGAUACGGGUUGACUUGAGGAAGGUAGGGGAGAAUGGAAUUCCUGGUGGAGCGGUGGAAUGCGCAGAUAUCAGGAGGAACACCAGUGGCGAAGGCGGUUCUCUGGGCCUUUCCUGACGCUGAGGAGCGAAAGCGUGGGGAGCGAACAGGCUUAGAUACCCUGGUAGUCCACGCUGUAAACGGUGGGUACUAGGUGUGGGGUCCAUUCCACGGGUUCCGUGCCGUAGCUAACGCUUUAAGUACCCCGCCUGGGGAGUACGGCCGCAAGGCUAAAACUCAAAGGAAUUGACGGGGCCCCGCACAAGCGGCGGAGCAUGCGGAUUAAUUCGAUGCAACGCGUAGAACCUUACCUGGGUUUGACAUGGAUCGGGAGUGCUCAGAGAUGGGUGUGCCUCUUUUGGGGUCGGUUCACAGGUGGUGCAUGCCUGUCGUCAGCUCGUGUCGUGAGAUGUUGGGUUAAGUCCCGCAACGAGCGCAACCCUUGUUCACUGUUGCCAGCACGUUAUGGUGGGGACUCAGUGGAGACCGCCGGGGUCAACUCGGAGGAAGGUGGGGAUGACGUCAAGUCAUCAUGCCCCUUAUGUCCAGGGCUUCACGCAUGCUACAAUGGCUGGUACAGAGGGUGGCGAGCCUGUGAGGGUGAGCGAAUCUCGGAAAGCCGGUCUCAGUUCGGAUUGGGGUCUGCAACUCGACCUCAUGAAGUCGGAGUCGCUAGUAAUCGCAGAUCAGCAACGCUGCGGUGAAUACGUUCCCGGGGCU
RNAcentral lists this ribosomal RNA (1346 nucleotides) under uncultured bacterium. RNAcentral describes it as "partial 16S ribosomal RNA". It matches the Rfam family "Bacterial small subunit ribosomal RNA", at positions 28 to 1381 of the family's 1533-position model. The record is from RNAcentral.